This 253-nucleotide ribosomal RNA is filed under the name uncultured bacterium. RNAcentral's name for it is "partial 16S ribosomal RNA". It matches the Rfam family "Bacterial small subunit ribosomal RNA", at positions 524 to 776 of the family's 1533-position model. The record is from RNAcentral.
UACGGAGGGUGCGAGCGUUAAUCGGAAUUACUGGGCGUAAAGCGCACGUAGGCGGUUGGGUAAGGCGGAUGUGAAAGCCCUGGGCUUAACCUGGGAACUGCCCCCGAUACUGCCCGGCUAGAGUAUGGGAGAGGGAAGCGGAAUUUCCGGUGUAGCGGUGAAAUGCGUAGAUAUCGGAAGGAACACCAAUGGCGAAGGCAGCUUCCUGGCCCAAUAAAGCCGCCCAGGUGCGAAAGCGUGGGGAUCAAACAGG